UUCAGUACUUAUACUAUUACUGAUCAUAAUGGCAUUACACAAGAAUUACAUCACAAAUACUAUCAAUGGGUUAGUAUCGUGCUCGUCCUACAAGCUGUAAUGUUUUAUAUUCCCAGAUAUAUGUGGAAAUGCUGGGAAAAUGGAAGAAUUAAGGCUUUAACUCAGGAUCUCGUGGGUCCUUUAGUGUCUCAAGAACAAUGGACAACCGCUAGGAGAAAUUACU
Long non-coding RNA from Ctenocephalides felis (cat flea), 223 nucleotides. RefSeq lists it as uncharacterized. Lineage: Eukaryota; Metazoa; Arthropoda; Insecta; Siphonaptera; Pulicidae. The record is from RefSeq and is a predicted model, not a curated record. The transcript is spliced from 3 exons.